AGUGGUUAAGUGCUCAGCUGCUAACUGAAAGGUCGGUGGUUUGAACCCACCAGCCACUU
This 59-nucleotide transfer RNA is filed under the name Loxodonta africana (African savanna elephant). It matches the Rfam family "tRNA", at positions 14 to 71 of the family's 71-position model. Rfam says of the family: Transfer RNA (tRNA) molecules are approximately 80 nucleotides in length. Their secondary structure includes four short double-helical elements and three loops (D, anti-codon, and T loops). The record is from Rfam by way of RNAcentral. Lineage: Eukaryota; Metazoa; Chordata; Mammalia; Proboscidea; Elephantidae.